This 1378-nucleotide long non-coding RNA is filed under the name Mus pahari (shrew mouse). Its description in RNAcentral is "lncRNA (MGP_PahariEiJ_G0004872.1)". Lineage: Eukaryota; Metazoa; Chordata; Mammalia; Rodentia; Muridae. The record is from RNAcentral.
AGGAGCCAAGCGCGCACGGGACGGUCUCGGGCCGCCCUCCGCCGGCUCCCCGCCGCUAACUGGCUGCUCACUUUAAUGCUGCGGGGAGCCCGGGCGCCCGGGGGCGCCUCGCUCCCCGUUCCCUCCCCAUCCCGUCAGGACUCUUGGCCUGGGGUCCUCCGCCCGGACCGCCCGGCUUUGUGUGGUGGCCCCGUCACGGCCACUGCCUGAGGCACGUCACAAAUCCGAGGAGCGGCCGACAGGACAGCCCUAGUCCCGGGCUCUUGGGGAUCCGGGCGGGAUGCAACGCGCCGCGCCCGCGGGGCUGCGGCUAGACCGGCCCGGGCAAGUCCCUAAGCUCUUCGGAUGUCCCCAACUCGGAGAGGGCUUAUGUUUGUUUUAACUGUCGGACUCCUCUUUCCACCGGACUGCCUACUCUGGGUUCUAAAGGAGGAUCUCAGCUGCUUUUCCACUUGCUGCUACUUUAUUUUGGUGUCCAAAAACUGAUCGGAACUUCAGGGAGCGCCCGACUCCGCUCUGCUCCACUCUAAGGCCAGCGGUGCCCAGAAGUUCAAAGGACUCAGGGCGGGGCUUGGAGGGCGGAGCCAGGACUACCUUGGCUAGAAGAUAAGAAUUCAGGAUUAACUUUAGUCAAGAUCACUCUUAUGCCAGCUUACCAAAGCUACUGGCCAACACCACAGUGGUCUCCCAAUGACUUUAUUGCUCCACAUGAAGAGGAACAGCUUUGACCUCAGCAGCCUUAUUAGUGUUUCUAAGAAAGACAAUGAAGUUCAUGGAGGACGCGUGGGAGGUGUGGGGGGCAAGUUGGUAUUUUAUUUGAGACAGGUGUCACUAUGUUGCUCUGUCUGUCCUGGAACUCACGGUGCAGACCAAGCGUCCUGAGUGCUGAUGCUAACGGUGUGCACCUCCACAAUGAGCAGAAGUGUGCAUCUUUCAGUGAGUAACAAAAGGCUUGAGGAGUGGAAGCAGCCCUGAAGGCUGCUCUGACUGCAUUGUUAGUGGCUGUCCCUAGACAGGUGAAAGGGUUUUGCCCCUGGACUGUGAGAAAGACUGUAACAGGACAUUGAUAUUUAUUAAGGUAAGGGCUCAUGAGCUCUCUCUCAUACUUGGAUCUUGAAAGGUUUAUGAUACUUAGGUAGGCCCAGAAGCACUCAGUAUUGAAGAGCUAAUUCUAACUCCCUGAAAGCCUUGGAUCCACUGGGAAAAGGUUACUAGGGACUUGAUUGGGUCAAAUUAACAACACAGAACUUUCAGAAAAGGUGGGAUUGCACUACCUGCAAUUGUCAGUAAGAAUCAGAAACCCUUGUGAUUGUCUUUUCUCUGGUUUGUCUGGGAACCUUUGGGGUGCCUGGUUUUCUAGAAUAAAGGGUUUAUCUCU